Molecule: long non-coding RNA, 610 nt
Organism: Amblyraja radiata (thorny skate)
Lineage: Eukaryota; Metazoa; Chordata; Chondrichthyes; Rajiformes; Rajidae
Exons: 2
Source: RefSeq, a predicted model, not a curated record
UAUUCAACAAACUUUAUUCAAAGGAGGGCGGAAAGUGAGGACAGUGGGGGAAACUACUGGCGCUGGAGUAUAUAUUGUGGAAAGUAUCUCGACUGGUUGCAAAAUGGCCUGGUAUGGCAAUUCCAACUCACAGGUACGCAGGACGUUGCAGUGAGUGGUGGACACAGCCCCUACCUCCAUCGAAAGCAUCGAUAUGUGCAAACUCAAGGUGGCAACAUCUAACAUUAAAGUUUCCCAUCCUCUUCUCACUGCUACCAUUGGGCAACUGGUACAAAAGCCUGAAGCCCCACACCACCAUGUUCAGGAACAACGACUGUACCUCAUCAACUAUCAGGUUCUUGAACCAGCCCUUACAACCCUAAUCUUACCUUCAAAAUAAAACACUACGACCCACCACUGGCACAAUCAGACUUGAUUUUUAUUUUCAAAUAUGUUUUUUUGCACUAAAUGUCUUUUUGCAUGGUCUUUCUUUUAGAAAUAUUAUGUCAUUUAUGUAUAUUUGCUUUUCUGUCAGAGUAUGUGCCUGUGAUGCUGCUGCAAGCAAGAUUUAUCUUUGUACCUGUAGCUCAUCAUACUUGUGCAUGUGACAAUAAACUCAACUUGAAUCUGG